This 408-nucleotide ribosomal RNA is filed under the name uncultured bacterium. Its description in RNAcentral is "partial 16S ribosomal RNA". It matches the Rfam family "Bacterial small subunit ribosomal RNA", at positions 28 to 526 of the family's 1533-position model. The record is from RNAcentral.
GACGAACGCUGGCGGCGUGCUUAACACAUGCAAGUCGAACGAAGUGGCGAACGGGUGAGUAAUGCGUAAUCAACCUGCCCUUCAGAGGGGGACAACAGUUGGAAACGACUGCAAAUACCGCAUACUGAAGGAGGGGAUUGCGUCUGAUUGGCUAGUUGGCGGGGGAACGGCCCACCAAGGCGAGCAUCAGUAGGCGGGCUGGGAGGAGGAACGGCCACAUUGGGACCGGGAACCGGCCCAGACUCCUACGGGGGGCAGCAGUGGGGAAACUUCCGCCAAGGACGAAAGUCUGACGGAGCAACGCCGCGGUAGAGAUGACGGCCUUCGGGUUUUAAAGCUCUGUUAAUCGGGACGCGGUACCGGAAGAGAAAGCCACGGCUAACUACGUGCCAGCAGCCGCGGUAAUAC